AUCGGGGUUGCGGACAGUGUCUGGUGGGUAGUUUGACUGGGGCGGUCUCCUCCCAAAGCGUAACGGAGGAGCACGAAGGUUAGCUAAUCCUGGUCGGACAUCAGGAGGUUAGUGCAAUGGCAUAAGCUAGCUUGACUGCGAGCGUGACGGCGCGAGCAGGUGCGAAAGCAGGUCAUAGUGAUCCGGUGGUUCUGAAUGGAAGGGCCAUCGCUCAACGGAUAAAAGGUACUCCGGGGAUAACAGGCUGAUACCGCCCAAGAGUUCAUAUCGACGGCGGUGUUUGGCACCUCGAUGUCGGCUCAUCACAUCCUGGGGCUGAAGUAGGUCCCAAGGGUAUGGCUGUUCGCCAUUUAAAGUGGUACGCGAGCUGGGUUUAGAACGUCGUGAGACAGUUCGGUCCCUAUCUGCCGUGGGCGCUGGAGAAUUGAGGGGGGCUGCUCCUAGUACGAGAGGACCGGAGUGGACGCAUCACUGGUGUUCGGGUUGUCAUGCCAAUGGCACUGCCCGGUAGCUAAAUGCGGAAGAGAUAAGUGCUGAAAGCAUCUAAGCACGAAACUUGCCCCGAGAUGAGUUCUCCCUGAGACUUUAAGUCUCCUGAAGGAACGUUGAAGACGACGACGUUGAUAGGCCGGGUGUGUAAGCGCAGCGAUGCGUUGAGCUAACCGGUACUAAUGAACCGUGAGGCUUAACCUUACAACGCCGAAG
This 705-nucleotide ribosomal RNA is filed under the name Klebsiella quasipneumoniae. RNAcentral describes it as "partial 23S ribosomal RNA". It matches the Rfam family "Bacterial large subunit ribosomal RNA", at positions 2238 to 2925 of the family's 2925-position model. The record is from RNAcentral. Lineage: Bacteria; Pseudomonadati; Pseudomonadota; Gammaproteobacteria; Enterobacterales; Enterobacteriaceae. RNAcentral also lists the same sequence under 1 other name.